GACGAACGCUGGCGGCGUGCUUAACACAUGCAAGUCGAACGGAGCUAUUUAUUUCGGUAGAUAGCUUAGUGGCAAACGGGUGAGUAACGCGUAGGCAACCUGCCCUCAGGAUGGGGACAACGGCUCGAAAGAGUCGCUAAUACCGAAUGACGUAACUCUUCCACAUGGAAGAGAUACUAAAGAUGGGUCAAACCAUCGCCUAAGGAUGGGCCUGCGUCUGAUUAGCCAGUUGGUGAGGUAACGGCUCACCAAAGCGACGAUCAGUAGCCGGUCUGAGAGGAUGAACGGCCACAAUGGGACUGAGACACGGCCCAUACUCCUACGGGAGGCAGCAGUGGGGAAUCUUUCCGCAAUGGGCGAAAGCCUGACGGAGCAAACGCCGCGUGAGUGAAGAAAGGUCUUUCGGAUUCG
This 411-nucleotide ribosomal RNA is filed under the name Veillonellaceae bacterium oral taxon 155. RNAcentral describes it as "bacterial SSU rRNA". It matches the Rfam family "Bacterial small subunit ribosomal RNA", at positions 28 to 425 of the family's 1533-position model. The record is from RNAcentral. Lineage: Bacteria; Bacillati; Bacillota; Negativicutes; Veillonellales; Veillonellaceae.